AUUGAACGCUGGCGGCAUGCUUUACACAUGCAAGUCGAACGGCAGCGCGGGCUUCGGCCUGGCGGCGAGUGGCGAACGGGUGAGUAAUACAUCGGAACGUGCCCAGUAGUGGGGGAUAGCUCGGCGAAAGCCGGAUUAAUACCGCAUACGACCUGAGGGUGAAAGCGGGGGAUCUUCGGACCUCGCGCUAUUGGAUCGGCCGAUGGCGGAUUAGCUAGUUGGUGGGGUAAAGGCCUACCAAGGCGACGAUCUGUAGCUGGUCUGAGAGGACGACCAGCCACACUGGAACUGAGACACGGCCCAGACUCCUACGGGAGGCAGCAGUGGGGAAUUUUGGACAAUGGGCGAAAGCCUGAUCCAGCAAUGCCGCGUGUGUGAUGAAGGCCUUCGGGUUGUAAAGCACUUUUGGCGGGAACGAAAAGGACUGUGCCAAUACCACGGUUCGAUGACGGUACCCGCAGAAUAAGCACCGGCUAACUACGUG
This 484-nucleotide ribosomal RNA is filed under the name uncultured bacterium. RNAcentral's name for it is "partial 16S ribosomal RNA". It matches the Rfam family "Bacterial small subunit ribosomal RNA", at positions 29 to 507 of the family's 1533-position model. The record is from RNAcentral.